This 428-nucleotide ribosomal RNA is filed under the name uncultured Klebsiella sp. RNAcentral describes it as "bacterial SSU rRNA". It matches the Rfam family "Bacterial small subunit ribosomal RNA", at positions 56 to 483 of the family's 1533-position model. The record is from RNAcentral. Lineage: Bacteria; Pseudomonadati; Pseudomonadota; Gammaproteobacteria; Enterobacterales; Enterobacteriaceae.
UGCAGUCGAGCGGUAGCACAGAGAGCUUGCUCUCGGGUGACGAGCGGCGGACGGGUGAGUAAUGUCUAGGAAACUGCCUGAUGGAGGGGGAUAACUACUGGAAACGGUAGCUAAUACCGCAUAAUAUCGCAAGACCAAAGUGGGGGACCUUCGGGCCUCAUGCCAUCAGAUGUGCCCAGAUGGGAUUAGCUAGUAGGUGGGGUAACGGCUCACCUAGGCGACGAUCCCUAGCUGGUCUGAGAGGAUGACCAGCCACACUGGAACUGAGACACGGUCCAGACUCCUACGGGAGGCAGCAGUGGGGAAUAUUGCACAAUGGGCGCAAGCCUGAUGCAGCCAUGCCGCGUGUGUGAAGAAGGCCUUCGGGUUGUAAAGCACUUUCAGCGGGGAGGAAGGCGUUAAGGUUAAUAACCUUGGCGAUUGACGUU